Carcharodon carcharias (great white shark) is the source of this 369-nucleotide long non-coding RNA. RefSeq lists it as uncharacterized. NCBI's taxonomy places the organism in Eukaryota, Metazoa, Chordata, Chondrichthyes, Lamniformes, Lamnidae. The record is from RefSeq and is a predicted model, not a curated record. The transcript has 3 exons.
UGUACUGGCAAUUAUCUUUAUACUGGCGGAAAGAGAGUCAGAUCUGGGCUUUUUAAGGCACGUUUGCGUCUCCCCAGUUCGAACAAGGUCCGUGUCUAGCUUCAGGUCACUGAAAGUCUGAUCCAUGACUCUUCUAGCAGUGGUGUAGGAACCCUGGAUUUUCAGUUUCUUACUUGACCUGCUGUAUUCUGCACAAUUGGGCCCUUUCUGGAGAAUUGAACAACUCAGCAACCUGACAGGCAGGAUUCCUGAAGAACACCACUUAAAGAGAAAUAUCCAACACCUGAGGUGAAUCAAGCAAUAUAUGGAAACAAGAUGCAGUGGAACGCAAGCUCCAACAAGUCAUCGACACCAACGCCCAUCCAGGAC